RNAcentral lists this ribosomal RNA (403 nucleotides) under Fusobacteriota bacterium. Its description in RNAcentral is "Fusobacteria bacterium partial 16S ribosomal RNA". It matches the Rfam family "Bacterial small subunit ribosomal RNA", at positions 355 to 776 of the family's 1533-position model. Lineage: Bacteria; Fusobacteriati; Fusobacteriota. The record is from RNAcentral.
UGGGGAAUAUUGCACAAUGGGGGAAACCCUGAUGCAGCGACGUCGCGUGAGCGAAGAAGGUUUUCGAAUCGUAAAGCUCUGUCCUAUGGGAAGAUAAUGACGGUACCAUAGGAGGAAGCCCCGGCUAACUACGUGCCAGCAGCCGCGGUAAUACGUAGGGGGCAAGCGUUGUCCGGAAUCACUGGGCGUAAAGGGUUCGCAGGCGGAAAUGCAAGUCAGUUGUGAAAGGCAGAGGCUCAACCUCUGUAAGCAAUUGAAACUGUAUUUCUUGAGAUGUGGAGAGGCAAGUGGAAUUCCUAGUGUAGCGGUGAAAUGCGUAGAUAUUAGGAAGAAUACCGGUGGCGAAGGCGACUUGCUGGACACAAACUGACGCUGAGGAACGAAAGCGUGGGUAGCAAACAGG